Molecule: ribosomal RNA, 719 nt
Filed under: uncultured bacterium
Lineage: Bacteria
Description: bacterial SSU rRNA
Rfam family: Bacterial small subunit ribosomal RNA
Source: RNAcentral
UACGAGAAAGGGACUUCGGUCCUGAGUAAAGUGGCGCACGGGUGCGUAACACGUAACUAACGUACCCCAUCGCUGGGGAUAACUCCGGGAAACCGGAGCUAAUACCGAAUAAUUGUCGGAGUCUGCGGACUCUGCCAAUAAAGCCGUAAGGCGCGGUGGGAUCGGGUUGCGGCCUAUCAGCUAGUUGGUGGGGUAAAAGCCCACCAAGGCAACGAUAGGUAGCUGGUCUGAGAGGAUGAUCAGCCACACUGGAACUGGAACACGGUCCAGACUCCCACGGGAGGCAGCAGUUGGGAAUAUUGGACAAUGGGCGAAAGCCUGAUCCAGCAAUCCCGCGUGAGUGAUGAAGGCCUUCGGGUCGUAAAACUCUUUUAGGGGGGACGAAGGGAAACUUGACGGUACCCCCAGAAAAAGCACCGGCUAACUCUGUGCCAGCAGCCGCGGUAAUACAGAGGGUGCAAGCGUUGUUCGGAAUUAUUGGGCGUAAAGCGAGUGUAGGCGGUUAUCUAAGUCUGGUGUGAAAGCCCGGGGCUCAACCUCGGAAGUGCACUGGAUACUGGAUAACUAGAGGGCGAUAGAGGGGAACGGAAUUAAUGGUGUAGGGGUGAAAUCCGUAGAUAUCAUUAGGAACACCGAAAGCGAAGGCUGUUCCCUGGGUCGCAACUGACGCUAAGACUCGAAAGCAUGGGUAGCAAACAGGAUUAGAUACCCUGGUAGUC